UGCGUCGCAAUAGUAAUUCAACCUAGUACGAGAGGAACCGUUGAUUCGCACAAUUGGUCAUUGUUCUUGGUUGAAAAGCCAGUGGCACGAAGCUACCAUGCGCUGGAUUUUGACUGAACGCCUCUAAGUCAGAAUCCGGGCUAGAAGCGACGCAUGCGACUGCCGCCCGAUUGCCGACCAUCAGUAGGAGCUUUGGCUCCCAAAGGCACGUGUCGUUGGCUAAGUCCGUUCGGCGGAAGCGCCGUUCAGACCGCCUUGAAUUAUAAUUACCACCGAGUGGCGGUUAGAAUCCUUUGCAGAUGACUAAAAUACGCGACGGGGUAUUGUAAGUGCCAGAAUGGCCUUGCUGCCACGAUCCACUGAGAUUCAGCCCUUUAUCACUAAGAUUC
Molecule: non-coding RNA, 389 nt
Filed under: Brassica napus (rape)
Lineage: Eukaryota; Viridiplantae; Streptophyta; Magnoliopsida; Brassicales; Brassicaceae
Description: rRNA LSU_rRNA_eukarya
Rfam family: Eukaryotic large subunit ribosomal RNA
Source: Rfam by way of RNAcentral